AGUAGCGUGGCCGAGCGGUCUAAGGCGCUGGUUUAAGGCACCAGUGUCUUCGGGUGCGUGGGUUCGAAUCCCACCGCUGCCA
Molecule: transfer RNA, 82 nt
Filed under: Ixodes scapularis (black-legged tick)
Lineage: Eukaryota; Metazoa; Arthropoda; Arachnida; Ixodida; Ixodidae
Description: tRNA-Leu
Rfam family: tRNA
About the family: Transfer RNA (tRNA) molecules are approximately 80 nucleotides in length.
Source: RNAcentral